CCUGCUUUAAUCCUGUUUGAGGCUGGGCUGCCUUGGUGAUGUGUGAGGAAGGGAUGAGAGAUGCCGCGCUGGAAGGGCUUUUUCCUCUCUGCCUGACCUGGGGAAUUGACCACCGGUCUUCUACCUGAGGAAUGCCACGUAAAUUACAGGUUCAACUUCCUGGAAUGCCUCUCCAUGCAAAUGAGGCAUCCUCAGAAGCUUAAACCUCAGCCAAUGAAACUUCACCCUAAGACGAGCCCCUUCCUACUCUGCAAGAUUCACAUAUAUAGCCCUUGCUUCACCACAAAUAAAGUGUACU
Mastomys coucha (southern multimammate mouse) is the source of this 298-nucleotide long non-coding RNA. RefSeq lists it as uncharacterized. The transcript has 2 exons. The record is from RefSeq and is a predicted model, not a curated record. NCBI's taxonomy places the organism in Eukaryota, Metazoa, Chordata, Mammalia, Rodentia, Muridae.